GGCUCAGGACGAACGCUGGCUGCGUGCUUAACACAUGCAAGUCGAACGCUGAAGCCGACAGCUUGCUGUUGGUGGAUGAGUGGCGAACGGGUGAGUAACACGUGAGUAACCUGCCCCUGAUUUCGGGAUAAGCCUGGGAAACUGGGUCUAAUACCGGAUACGACCUCCCGACGCAUGUUGGGUGGUGGAAAGUUUUUCGAUCGGGGAUGGGCUCGCGGCCUAUCAGCUUGUUGGUGGGGUAAUGGCCUACCAAGGCGACGACGGGUAGCCGGCCUGAGAGGGCGACCGGCCACACUGGGACUGAGACACGGCCCAGACUCCUACGGGAGGCAGCAGUGGGGAAUAUUGCACAAUGGGGGAAACCCUGAUGCAGCGACGCAGCGUGCGGGAUGACGGCCUUCGGGUUGUAAACCGCUUUCAG
RNAcentral lists this ribosomal RNA (421 nucleotides) under Brevibacterium epidermidis. RNAcentral's name for it is "bacterial SSU rRNA". It matches the Rfam family "Bacterial small subunit ribosomal RNA", at positions 21 to 439 of the family's 1533-position model. Lineage: Bacteria; Bacillati; Actinomycetota; Actinomycetes; Micrococcales; Brevibacteriaceae. The record is from RNAcentral.